RNAcentral lists this non-coding RNA (21 nucleotides) under Caenorhabditis elegans. The record is from RNAcentral. Lineage: Eukaryota; Metazoa; Nematoda; Chromadorea; Rhabditida; Rhabditidae.
UCAGUUAUCUUUGGCAGCAAA